AGGUCUAGGACAGAGCCACUACUCCCUCUGCUCCAGGUCUAGGACAGAGCCACUACUCCCUCUGCUCCAGGUCUAGGACAGAGCCACUACUCCCUCUGUUCCAGGUCUAGGACAGAGCCACUACUCCCUCUGUUCCAGGUCUAGGACAGAGCCACUACUCCCUCUGCUCCAGGUCUAGGACAGAGCCACUACUCCCUCUGUUCCAGGUCUAGGACAGAGCCACUACUCCCUCUGUCCCAGGUCUAGGACAGAGCCACUACUCCCUCUGUUCCAGGUCUAGGACAGAGCCACUACUCCCUCUGCUCCAGGUCUAGGACAGAGCCACUACUCCCUCUGCUCCAGGUCUAGGACAGAGCCACUACUCCCUCUGUUCCAGGUCUAGGACAGAGCCACUACUCCCUCUACUCCAGGUCUAGGACAGAGCCACUACUCCCUCUGCUCCAGGUCUAGGACAGAGCCACUACUCCCUCUGUUCCAGGUCUAGGACAGAGCCACUACUCCCUCUGCUCCAGGUCAGGACAGAGCCACUACUCCCUCUGCUCCAGGUCUAGGACAGAGCCACUACUCCCUCUGUUCCAGGUCUAGGACAGAGCCACUACUCCCUCUGCUCCAGGUCUAGUACAGAGCCACUACUCCCUCUGCUCCAGGUCUAGGACAGAGCCACUACUCCCUCUACUCCAGGUCUAGGACAGAGCCACUACUCCCUCUGCUCCAGGUCUAGGACAGAACCUUUACUCCCCCUACUCCAGGUCUAGGACAGAGCCACUACUCCCUCUACUCCAGGUCUAGGACAGAACCUUUACUCCCCCUACUCCAGGUCUAGGACAGAGCCACUACUCCCUCUACUCCAGGUCUAGAACAGAACCUUUACUCCCUCUACUCCAGGUCUAGGACAGAGCCACUACUCCCCCUACUCCAGGUCUAGGACAGAGCCACUACUCCCUCUGUUCCAGGUCUAGGACAGAGCCACUACUCCCUCUGCUCCAGGUCUAGGACAGAGCCACUACUCCCUCUGUUCCAGGUCUAGGACAGAACCUUUACUCCCUCUACUCCAGGUAUAGGACAGAGCCACUACUCCCUCUGUUCCAGGUCUAGGACAGAGCCACUACUCCCUCUGCUCCAGGUCUAGGACAGAGCCACUACUCCCUCUACUCCAGGUCUAGGACAGAGCCACUACUCCACUCCCUCUGCUCCAGGUCUAGGACAGAGCCACUACUCCCUCUACUCCAGGUCUAGGACAGAGCCACUACUCCCUCUGCUCCAGGUCUAGGACAGAGCCACUACUCCCUCUGUUCCAGGUCUAGGACAGAGCCACUACUCCCUCUACUCCAGGUCUAGGACAGAGCCACUA
Molecule: long non-coding RNA, 1351 nt
Organism: Oncorhynchus keta (chum salmon)
Lineage: Eukaryota; Metazoa; Chordata; Actinopteri; Salmoniformes; Salmonidae
Exons: 3
Source: RefSeq, a predicted model, not a curated record